Molecule: non-coding RNA, 500 nt
Organism: Theobroma cacao (cacao)
Lineage: Eukaryota; Viridiplantae; Streptophyta; Magnoliopsida; Malvales; Malvaceae
Source: RefSeq, a predicted model, not a curated record
UUCCACUUUAUUUUCACUUGACUCCCAUGCAAUUGAAGAAAAAAAUAGAGAGAAUCAACUAAGGAAAGAAAGGAGAGAAAGGUGAAAGGCUUGGGUAGUAAGUGAUUCAAGAGUAAUUGAAGAAAUAUCAAGUGGGUCUCAAGAUUCAAGAAACAUAAGGAAGUACAAAAGUAAAGGUAGUGCACUAUGGUAGCAUGCUAGAGGAAAUAACGAGUGACCGGCAAGUAGCAAUAGCUAGAUACACCUCCGAACUAAUAGCGAUGUAACAUCCCGCUAUUGUAAGGUUUUCUGAGUUAAAGGUGACUGGUCCUAAGAUGAGGUGCUCUUCCCUAUCUAUUGCUCGGUAGGUUUACCAUGACACUAAAUGUUAGCAACUGUGCCUAGAGUCACUCCGCUGAUGGUCAAAGUCUAAUUAUGUGUAUAUGAAUGCUUGAUGUGAAAUGCUAAAACUCAUUUGUCAAGCUAUAUAUGUAUAUUAUAGUUGAUGAUGCCAUUAUGAA